CAGUGAGUCAUUUGAGCGGUUUUAGAUAUGAAAUCGCCUAUCGCCUAACCCGUAACCAUAAUGGUCUGCGACUUCGAUUCCUCCAUCAUAUGGCCUAGAGUAACCGACCGUUGUCACACAAAGAAACAUCGUUGGUGGCUGAAUAAACAGCCACACAACCAACACUUGAACUGGAGAUUUUCCCACCUCCCACCCACUUCAAAAUCUUCGUCUAAAUGAAUACAGGACUGGUUGAAAUGAAGGUGAAAUGGCUCAGAAUUCUCUUGAUCCAAACUGGCAAACUCUCCAACUUACUGUUAUAGGAUGAAAAUCAUAGAAAGCCCCUGGUUACAAGCAAGCACAUACGUGAGUGUUCAACCAGAUGAGGAAUGUUACUUUUAUGUUGUGCAGUAUUUCUAGUUUGCUAUUUACUUAAUACUCUGCUUCUGAUGCUUAGCCAAAUCUUCUGAAAACUUGGGACCUCUUUGGGGAACUAUUUUUUGUUCUCUAGAACAAAAAAUAUCGAAAACAUAUUUAAUAAUUAAAAAUUGGUUUCUGUUUUCUA
Molecule: long non-coding RNA, 544 nt
Organism: Vitis vinifera (wine grape)
Lineage: Eukaryota; Viridiplantae; Streptophyta; Magnoliopsida; Vitales; Vitaceae
Exons: 3
Source: RefSeq, a predicted model, not a curated record